UACGUAGGUCCCGAGCGUUGUCCGGAUUUAUUGGGCGUAAAGCGAGCGUAGGCGGUUUGAUAAGUCUGAAGUUAAAGGCUGUGGCUCAACCAUAGUUCGCUUUGGAAACUGUCAAACUUGAGUGCAGAAGGGGAGAGUGGAAUUCCAUGUGUAGCGGUGAAAUGCGUAGAUAUAUGGAGGAACACCGGUGGCGAAAGCGGCUCUCUGGUCUGUAACUGACGCUGAGGCUCGAAAGCGUGGGGAGCGAACAGG
RNAcentral lists this ribosomal RNA (252 nucleotides) under Streptococcus salivarius. Its description in RNAcentral is "partial 16S ribosomal RNA". It matches the Rfam family "Bacterial small subunit ribosomal RNA", at positions 524 to 776 of the family's 1533-position model. The record is from RNAcentral. Lineage: Bacteria; Bacillati; Bacillota; Bacilli; Lactobacillales; Streptococcaceae.